UUGGAGAGUUUGAUUCUGGCUCAGGACGAACGCUGGCGGCGUGCUUAACACAUGCAAGUCGAACGGUAAGGCCCUUCGGGGUACACGAGUGGCGAACGGGUGAGUAACACGUGGGUAAUCUGCCCUGCACAUCGGGAUAAGCCUGGGAAACUGGGUCUAAUACCGGAUAGGACCACAGAACACAUGUCCUGUGGUGGAAAGCUUUUGCGGUGUGGGAUGGGCCCGCGGCCUAUCAGCUUGUUGGUGGGGUGAUGGCCUACCAAGGCGACGACGGGUAGCCGGCCUGAGAGGGUGUCCGGCCACACUGGGACUGAGAUACGGCCCAGACUCCUACGGGAGGCAGCAGUGGGGAAUAUUGCACAAUGGGCGAAAGCCUGAUGCAGCGACGCCGCGUGGGGGAUGACGGCCUUCGGGUUGUAAACCUCUUUCACCAUCGACGAAGGUCCGGGUUUUCUCGGAUUGACGGUAGGUGGAGAAGAAGCACCGGCCAACUACGUGCCAGCAGCCGCGGUAAUACGUAGGGUGCGAGCGUUGUCCGGAAUUACUGGGCGUAAAGAGCUCGUAGGUGGUUUGUCGCGUUGUUCGUGAAAUCUCACGGCUUAACUGUGAGCGUGCGGGCGAUACGGGCAGACUUGAGUACUGCAGGGGAGACUGGAAUUCCUGGUGUAGCGGUGGAAUGCGCAGAUAUCAGGAGGAACACCGGUGGCGAAGGCGGGUCUCUGGGCAGUAACUGACGCUGAGGAGCGAAAGCGUGGGGAGCGAACAGGAUUAGAUACCCUGGUAGUCCACGCCGUAAACGGUGGGUACUAGGUGUGGGUUUCCUUCCUUGGGAUCCGUGCCGUAGCUAACGCAUUAAGUACCCCGCCUGGGGAGUACGGCCGCAAGGCUAAAACUCAAAGAAAUUGACGGGGGCCCGCACAAGCGGCGGAGCAUGUGGAUUAAUUCGAUGCAACGCGAAGAACCUUACCUGGGUUUGACAUGCACAGGACGCCGGCAGAGAUGUCGGUUCCCUUGUGGCCUGUGUGCAGGUGGUGCAUGGCUGUCGUCAGCUCGUGUCGUGAGAUGUUGGGUUAAGUCCCGCAACGAGCGCAACCCUUGUCUCAUGUUGCCAGCGGGUAAUGCCGGGGACUCGUGAGAGACUGCCGGGGUCAACUCGGAGGAAGGUGGGGAUGACGUCAAGUCAUCAUGCCCCUUAUGUCCAGGGCUUCACACAUGCUACAAUGGCCGGUACAAAGGGCUGCGAUGCCGCGAGGUUAAGCGAAUCCUUUUAAAGCCGGUCUCAGUUCGGAUCGGGGUCUGCAACUCGACCCCGUGAAGUCGGAGUCGCUAGUAAUCGCAGAUCAGCAACGCUGCGGUGAAUACGUUCCCGGGCCUUGUACACACCGCCCGUCACGUCAUGAAAGUCGGUAACACCCGAAGCCAGUGGCCUAACCCUUUGGGAGGGAGCUGUCGAAGGUGGGAUCGGCGAUUGGGACGAAGUCGUAACAAGGUAGCCGUACCGGAAGGUGCGGCUGGAUCACCUCCUUU
RNAcentral lists this ribosomal RNA (1527 nucleotides) under Mycobacterium sp. RNAcentral describes it as "bacterial SSU rRNA". It matches the Rfam family "Bacterial small subunit ribosomal RNA". The record is from RNAcentral. Lineage: Bacteria; Bacillati; Actinomycetota; Actinomycetes; Mycobacteriales; Mycobacteriaceae.